AUGAGCGGGAAAAAGGUGGGAAAAGGGCCAGGAAAAAGGUGGGAAAAAAGUGGGAAAGGGACAGGAAAAGGAUGGGAAAGGGGUGAGAAAAAAAUGGGAAAGGGAUGGGAAAGAAGUGGGAAAAGGGUGGGAAAAGGGUCAGGAAGAGAAUGGGAAAAAAUUUUGGGAAGAGUGGAAAAGGGGUGGGAAAAAGGCGGGAAAAAGGUGGGAAAAUUGUGGGAAAAAGGCGGGAAAGGGAUGGGAAAAAGGUGGGAAAAUUGGGGGAAAAAGGCGGGAAAAGGGUGGGAAAAUUGUGGGAAAAAAGUGGGAAAAGGGGUGGGAAAGAGAUCUGGAAAAUGGGAAUGGGAUUUCUUGGGAAUGGGAAUUGUGGGAAUGGGAUUUACAGGAAUUAUGGGAAUGGGAUUUUUGGGAAUUGUGGGAUUUUUGGGAAUUGUGGGAAUGGGAUUUACGGGAAUUGUGGGAAUUGUGGGAAUUGCGGGAUUGGGAUUUACAGGAAUUGUGGGAAUUGUGGGAAUGGGAAUUGUGGGAUUUGUGGGAAUUGUGGGAAUGGGAAUUGUGGGAUUUGUGGGAAUUGUGGGAAUGGGAUUUACAGGAAUUGUGGGAAUUGUGGGAAGGGGAUUGAUGGGAUUUGUGGGAAUUGUGGGAUUUUUGGGAAUUGUGGGAAUUGUGGGAUUGGGAUUUUUGGGAAUUGUGGGAAUGGGAUUUACAGGAAUUGUAGGAAUGGGAUUUUUGGGAAUUAUGGGAAUGGGAUUUACAGGAAUUGUGGGAAUUGUGGGAAUGGGAUUUUUGGGAUUUAUGGGAAUUGUGGGAAUGGGAUUUUUGGGAAUUAUGGGAAUGGGAUUUACAGGAAUUGUGGGAUUUGUGGGAAUUGUGGGAUUUGUGGGAAUUGUGGGAAUGGGAUUUUUGGGAAUUGUGGGAAUGGGAUUUAUGGGAAUUUUGGGAUCCUCCCUCUCCCCCUUCCCUUCCCCCUCUGGAAUUUCCCGGGACCUGCGGGCGGGUGAAUUCCCGGGAUAA
Molecule: long non-coding RNA, 1014 nt
Filed under: Parus major (Great Tit)
Lineage: Eukaryota; Metazoa; Chordata; Aves; Passeriformes; Paridae
Description: lncRNA (ENSPMJG00000010166.1)
Source: RNAcentral